GCGGGGUGGAGCAAUUGGUAGCUCGUCGGGCUCAUAACCCGAAGGUUGCAGGUUCAAGUCCUGUCCCCGCUACUAA
Molecule: transfer RNA, 76 nt
Filed under: Melioribacter roseus P3M-2
Lineage: Bacteria; Pseudomonadati; Ignavibacteriota; Ignavibacteria; Ignavibacteriales; Melioribacteraceae
Description: tRNA-Met
Rfam family: tRNA
About the family: Transfer RNA (tRNA) molecules are approximately 80 nucleotides in length. Their secondary structure includes four short double-helical elements and three loops (D, anti-codon, and T loops).
Source: RNAcentral